GAUAAACGCUGGCGGCGCACAUAAGACAUGCAAGUUGAACGGACUUAAUCGAAAUAUUUAUAUUUUGAAGCGGUUAGUGGCGGACUGGUGAGUAACGCGUAAGGAACCUGCCUAUUAGAGGGGAAUAACAGUGAGAAAUCAUUGCUAAUACCGCAUAUGCCAUAGAUAUCACAUGAUAACAGUGGGAAAGGAGCAAUCCGCUAAUAGAUGGCCUUGCGUCUGAUUAGAUAGUUGGUGGGGUAACGGCCUACCAAGUCGACGAUCAGUAGCCGGACUGAGAGGUUGAACGGCCACAUUGGGACUGAGAUACGGCCCAGACUCCUACGGGAGGCAGCAGUCGGGAAUUUUGCGCAAUGGAGGAAACUCUGACGCAGUGACGCCGCGUAUAGGAAGAAGGUUUUCGGAUUGUAAACUAUUGUCGUUAGGGAAGAGAAAGGACAGUACCUAAGGAGGAAGCUCCGGCUAACUACGUG
This 473-nucleotide ribosomal RNA is filed under the name uncultured bacterium. RNAcentral's name for it is "partial 16S ribosomal RNA". It matches the Rfam family "Bacterial small subunit ribosomal RNA", at positions 28 to 507 of the family's 1533-position model. The record is from RNAcentral.